GGAGUUUGGACCGUGUCUCAGUUCCAAUGUGGGGGACCUUCCUCUCAGAACCCCUACCGAUCGAUGGCUUGGUGGGCCGUUACCCCGCCAACUACCUAAUCGGACGCAUCCCCAUCCAUGGCCGGUAAACCUUUAGUCCUCAUUAGAUGUCUGCAAAGGACGCCAUAGGGCAUUAAUCCGCUUUUCAGCGGGCUAUUCCCUGGCCGUGGGCAGGUUGGAUACGCGUUACUCACCCGUGCGCCGGUCGCCAUCAGAGUUUGCAAGCAAACUCCAUGCUGCCCCUCGACUUGCACGUGUUAGUAC
RNAcentral lists this ribosomal RNA (303 nucleotides) under uncultured Prevotella sp. Its description in RNAcentral is "partial 16S ribosomal RNA". The record is from RNAcentral. Lineage: Bacteria; Pseudomonadati; Bacteroidota; Bacteroidia; Bacteroidales; Prevotellaceae.